UUGAAGAGUUUGAUCAUGGCUCAGAUUGAACGCUGGCGGCAGGCCUAACACAUGCAAGUCGAGCGGUAGCACAGAGAGCUUGCUCUCGGGUGACGAGCGGCGGACGGGUGAGUAAUGUCUGGGAAACUGCCUGAUGGAGGGGGAUAACUACUGGAAACGGUAGCUAAUACCGCAUAAUGUCGCAAGACCAAAGUGGGGGACCUUCGGGCCUCAUGCCAUCAGAUGUGCCCAGAUGGGAUUAGCUAGUAGGUGGGGUAACGGCUCACCUAGGCGACGAUCCCUAGCUGGUCUGAGAGGAUGACCAGCCACACUGGAACUGAGACACGGUCCAGACUCCUACGGGAGGCAGCAGUGGGGAAUAUUGCACAAUGGGCGCAAGCCUGAUGCAGCCAUGCCGCGUGUGUGAAGAAGGCCUUCGGGUUGUAAAGCACUUUCAGCGGGGAGGAAGGCGAUAAGGUUAAUAACCUUGUCGAUUGACGUUACCCGCAGAAGAAGCACCGGCUAACUCCGUGCCAGCAGCCGCGGUAAUACGGAGGGUGCAAGCGUUAAUCGGAAUUACUGGGCGUAAAGCGCACGCAGGCGGUCUGUCAAGUCGGAUGUGAAAUCCCCGGGCUUAACCUGGGAACUGCAUUCGAAACUGGCAGGCUAGAGUCUUGUAGAGGGGGGGUAGAAUUCCAGGUGUAGCGGUGAAAUGCGUAGAGAUCUGGAGGAAUACCGGUGGCGAAGGCGGCCCCCUGGACAAAGACUGACGCUCAGGUGCGAAAGCGUGGGGAGCAAACAGGAUUAGAUACCCUGGUAGUCCACGCCGUAAACGAUGUCGAUUUGGAGGUUGUGCCCUUGAGGCGUGGCUUCCGGAGCUAACGCGUUAAAUCGACCGCCUGGGGAGUACGGCCGCAAGGUUAAAACUCAAAUGAAUUGACGGGGGCCCGCACAAGCGGUGGAGCAUGUGGUUUAAUUCGAUGCAACGCGAAGAACCUUACCUGGUCUUGACAUCCACAGAACUUUCCAGAGAUGGAUUGGUGCCUUCGGGAACUGUGAGACAGGUGCUGCAUGGCUGUCGUCAGCUCGUGUUGUGAAAUGUUGGGUUAAGUCCCGCAACGAGCGCAACCCUUAUCCUUUGUUGCCAGCGGUUAGGCCGGGAACUCAAAGGAGACUGCCAGUGAUAAACUGGAGGAAGGUGGGGAUGACGUCAAGUCAUCAUGGCCCUUACGACCAGGGCUACACACGUGCUACAAUGGCAUAUACAAAGAGAAGCGACCUCGCGAGAGCAAGCGGACCUCAUAAAGUAUGUCGUAGUCCGGAUUGGAGUCUGCAACUCGACUCCAUGAAGUCGGAAUCGCUAGUAAUCGUAGAUCAGAAUGCUACGGUGAAUACGUUCCCGGGCCUUGUACACACCGCCCGUCACACCAUGGGAGUGGGUUGCAAAAGAAGUAGGUAGCUUAACCUUCGGGAGGGCGCUUACCACUUUGUGAUUCAUGACUGGGGUGAAGUCGUAACAAGGUAACCGUAGGGGAACCUGCGGUUGGAUCACCUCCUU
RNAcentral lists this ribosomal RNA (1537 nucleotides) under Klebsiella pneumoniae. RNAcentral describes it as "bacterial SSU rRNA". It matches the Rfam family "Bacterial small subunit ribosomal RNA". Lineage: Bacteria; Pseudomonadati; Pseudomonadota; Gammaproteobacteria; Enterobacterales; Enterobacteriaceae. The record is from RNAcentral.